CAAUUGGAAACAGUUGCUAAGACUGGAUAGGAAAUUAAAAGGCAUCUUUUAAUUUUUAAAAGACCUUUUUCGGAAGGUAUGCUUAAAGAGGGGCUUGCGCCACAUUAGUUAGUUGGUAAGGUAAAGGCUUACCAAGACGAUGAUGUGUAGCUGGACUGAGAGGUCGAACAGCCACAUUGGGACUGAGACACGGCCCAAACUCCUACGGGAGGCAGCAGUAAGGAAUUUUUGGCAAUGGAGGAAACUCUGACCGAGCGACGCCGCGUGAACAAUGAAGUACUUCGGUAUGUAAAGUUCUUUUAUUGAAAAAGAAAAAAUAGUGGAAAAACUAUCUUGACAUUAUUCAAUGAAUAAGCCCCGGCUAAUUAUGUGCCAGCAGCCGCGGUAAUACAUAAGGGGCGAGCGUUAUCCGGAAUUAUUGGGCGUAAAGGGUGCGUAGGCGGUUUGAUAAGUCUAUAGUUUAAUUGCAGUGCUUAACGCUGUACCGCUAUAGAAACUGUCUGACUAGAGUUAGAUAGAGGCAAGCGGAAUUCCAUGUGUAGCGGUAAAAUGCGUAAAUAUAUGGAGGAACACCAGAGGCGUAGGCGGCUUGCUGGGUCUUAACUGACGCUGAGGCACGAAAGCGUGGGGAGCAAACAGGAUUAGAUACCCUGGUAGUCCACGCCGUAAACGAUGAGUACUAAGUGUCGGGUUUUGGCUCGGUACUGAAGUUAACACAUUAAGUACUCCGCCUGAGUAGUACGUACGCAAGUAUGAAACUUAAAGGAAUUGACGGGACCCCGCACAAGCGGUGGAUCAUGUUGUUUAAUUCGAAGAUACACGAAAAACCUUACCAGGUCUUGACAUAAUUUUGCGACAUUAUAGAAAUAUAAUGAAGGUUAUCAGAAUUACAGGUGGUGCAUGGUUGUCGUCAGCUCGUGUCGUGAGAUGUUAGGUUAAGUCCUAAAACGAGCGCAACCCUUGUCGUUAGUUGCGACCACAUAAUGGUGAGCACUUUAGCGAGACUGCCAAUGAAAAAUUGGAGGAAGGUGAGGAUUACGUCAAAUCAUCAUGCCCCUUAUGAUCUGGGCUACAAACGUGAUACAAUGGCUGUUACAAAGAGUAGCUACAACGUGAGUUUUUAGCCAAUCUCAAAAAAACAGUCUCAGUUCGGAUUGAAGUCUGCAACUCGACUUCAUGAAGUUGGAAUCGCUAGUAAUCGCGAAUCAGCAUGUCGCGGUGAAUACGUUCUCGGGGUUUGUACACACCGCCCGUCAAACCACGAAAGUUGAUAAUACCCAAAACCGGUC
This is a ribosomal RNA of 1289 nucleotides. It matches the Rfam family "Bacterial small subunit ribosomal RNA", at positions 147 to 1432 of the family's 1533-position model.